Molecule: long non-coding RNA, 873 nt
Filed under: Pan troglodytes (chimpanzee)
Lineage: Eukaryota; Metazoa; Chordata; Mammalia; Primates; Hominidae
Description: lincRNA
Source: RNAcentral
GGCCACUGAGGCCUCCCCGUUCACCUCCCAGAGGCCGCCACUUUCUUCAGGGCUAUCAGAUGAAGGCAGCAACGAAAACACCACAAGACCAACUUCAGGCUGGAGCUGAUGAUGCCACACAGGGGCUUCCUGGAGCUCCUGCAACCCCAGGCAUUAGUUCCAGUGCAGUUCUAGGAUCAGAUCAAUUCACUCGACAACAAGAGAAACAAAUGGAGAUUCCUACACAAAGACUUUCAAGCACAAAGAAAUCCUGCUGCCUGUAAAGUGGAGCUGCCUCAGCUCUUGAUGAACGACAGAAAAUACCACCUACUGCCAGACCUCAACGCCUCACAAAACUCUCACCCACCUACUGCUUUUAGCUCACAUUCCAGGAAUUCAGAUGAAGUGAAGUGCUCUCAUGGGGACCAGGCAUGGUUAUUCCAGUCCACUGCCCUGCAAGCCUCAAGGGAAGCCAACUGCCCUUCAGCAAGUCACACCUGCCUUGGUGGAGGCCUUGAUUGGAAGUGCCACACGCUACAUGUCCAGUCCUGAGCGGGAGAAUCGGUGUAGGGACGUUGUGGGGAUGCCGGCUGUGGCCAGAUCAGGUCCAGCUACAGAAGAAUGAAGACUCCACCUGAGGGCUGGAAAAACAAAACCUCAAGUGUGAGGCAGCCAACCUGUUACCUCGAGGGACUGUCCCGCAGCACAGCGGGGCCAUGGGAACAGCAGCAGACACCCCGGCCUCCUCGCUACCUGUGUGUGUAUUAACGCCCCGGCCCCCUCACUACCUGUGUGUGUAUUAACGCCCCGGCCCCCUCGCUACCUGUGUGUGUAUUAACGCCCCGGCCCCCUCGCUACCUGUGUGUGUAUUAACGCCCCGGCCCCCUCGCUACC